Molecule: long non-coding RNA, 1049 nt
Filed under: Bos indicus x Bos taurus (hybrid cattle)
Lineage: Eukaryota; Metazoa; Chordata; Mammalia; Artiodactyla; Bovidae
Description: lncRNA (ENSBIXG00005012009.1)
Source: RNAcentral
AUGGGAUUCUCCAGGCAAGAAUACUGGAGUGAGUUGCUAUUUCCUUCUCCAGUGGAUCUUCCUGACCCAGGAAUGGAACCCCCGUCUCCUGUAUUACAAGCAGACUCUUUACCAACUGAGCUACGAGGGCAACAUAAACUGCUGCUUUUGCUGCAACCCCUGUUUCCAACCACUACCACUCAGCCGACUCCUAUGAAAAUGGUUUCCAAGAGGAGUCUGUUGGAAACAGACUGAGCAGUUAACAUCAGCACCAAAUAACUGCCGCCUGUCUGGGAGAGACCCAGCAAUAAGGUGGGGACAGCAUGUGUGGAAACGUGAGAGCCCUGGUAGCCAGUCCAAACAUUGCAGACAAGUUUUGUGAGCGAGGGUUCUCUGAACACCAUUUGCCAAAAUGGCCCACAUUCUUGUAGGCACAGAUCUAGGCUCAAGUUAUGAAACAAAUAAUACAAGGGUGGCUUGCUAGAAGGGGCUCCAGGAUAUUGUGAGCGGGUGGGCCAGAGGGAACUGGGCCUUCUGGCUGUUCAUUUCUUUCCAGCUGCUACUAACAGCCUCUAAUGUUACAUACAUUCUUUUCUCUCCCAAUCUAGAAGAGAACCUGGAGACCAGCUUCUGCAAGUCAUGCCCACGUCUGUGCUAAAUGUCAACCGCAGCACUGUGGGAAGCACAGGCUGCUGCUUUUGGUGAAGGCCUCCAGAGGACAGUGCCCAGACAAUCUCUGUGACCCAUUCUAGUUCAACCGUUGUCCAGUCUUUAGAAGUGGGCCUCACAAUAACCUUAAGAUACCACCUUAGCAAUUUGUGUUUAUUCCUUCUGGCUCCUACUGAUUAGAGGUAGGGAAUAGCCACUCACCAAGUUCUCCACUUAAAAUCAUGCUUUGAAAUACUUGAUAAAUGCAUCUCGUUAACCUAUACUUAUCUAGACCUAAUAAUUUAAAAAACAUUUUAUGUACUCACUUGAUUAUAAUCUUCAACUCAUGUAAUCCCUGCUACCUGAUCCCCAGCUCUUCAAUCCAGUCCCCUAAAAAAAUAAAAAAAUAAACCACCCCUGCA